GUCUACGGCCCCACCACCCUGAAAGCGCCUGAUCUCAUCUGAUCUCAGAAGCUAAGCAGAGUCAGGUCUGGUUAGUUCUUAGAUAGGAGACCGCAAAAA
This 99-nucleotide ribosomal RNA is filed under the name Chlorocebus sabaeus (green monkey). The record is from RNAcentral. Lineage: Eukaryota; Metazoa; Chordata; Mammalia; Primates; Cercopithecidae.